UUUCUCUCCAUAGUGUCAAUAGGCAAUUACAAAAAUAUAGUUGUACUACUGAAUGCACUCAGUAUUACUUCUUGUGUCUCCUGCAGUCUUAUUGCAAAAUAUCUCAUUGCGCCAACCAUUUGCAUCCCUGGACAGAGCAACUUGUGUGUAAAGUCCAUGUUAGCAGAUCAAGCAUAGCUUUGUUUGCACUUAUUCACUGCUCAUCCAGCACUGCAGUAAGUGGUUUUGCAUAUUAAAUAAGUGCACAGUAACCUUCCUUUACCUCCUCAGAGCCCCACCCCCUCCCACCCAGGCUCAGGAAUCAACACUGUUGCUCAGUCUGAGACACACUGUGAGGAAGCUGCCAGGAGGUUGCUAUAGUAACUGUUCUGCUUUCAAGAGCUAUUUUCCUGGUUUGAGGGGAGAUGGAGAAGGCCAAAAAAAAAAAAAAACCCAACCUGGAGAAAACUAGGCAGCCUCUGACGAGAGUUCAGAUAAAGAAGGUCACAGUAAUUUUCUGGCACUGACUAAAAUAACCAAGCGGAUGUGGGAGUUACAAAGCAACAAAAGAGAAAUAGGUGAAGUAGAAGGGCAAUAAUUAAAUUAUUUGGUAAUGUUCCUAAAUUGGAGCAUUUCAGAUUUAUAUCAGCGCAGAUCAUCUGGAUAAUAUUUUAUGAAUCUUUUCAUUUUUCAUCCUGAGUUACAGUAAUUUAAACACAAAAGGCUAGAUUCUGAGCUCAACUUUGCCAGUUUAAAUCUGGAGUAAUUCCAGCAAUGCCUAUUAAGCUUCCCUGGAUUUGCACUGGUGUAACGGAGAGAAGAAUGUGGCCCAGAAUACCUAAUUUUACGAAAGCAUGGAACAAAGGUGGAGGCAAAAGGCUGUAAUUCUAACAUCUGCAAACCAUUUUCUGAAACGGUCUUUCAACAAUCAAGAGUAUGUUGGAAACAAGGAACAAUCUGUCUCUCUCCGCAGGCUUCAGCCACUUCUGAGUAGUGGGCCUAAAGAGGUGUGACAUCACACACGCUUUACACUUUUCCUGUGUCCAUCGGCUGGAAAGAAAAGUUGUACUUGGAUGGGUGGAUAUAAUAAGACAUGUGGAGAAACCAAAUUAGCAGAGCUGACAGCUGCAGAGGCCACAGGGAAAGGAGCUGCAAUAUUCAAGGCAAGAUGAGAUGAAGUACUGGAAGAGGAUUCCAGCACGGUUAGAGUUGAUGAAAUGGCUUACAGAGUUGCAGGGGUGGUAACAGGCAAAUUUAUAGAUGGAAGAGAUGU
Molecule: long non-coding RNA, 1252 nt
Organism: Chelonia mydas (Green sea turtle)
Lineage: Eukaryota; Metazoa; Chordata; Testudines; Cheloniidae
Exons: 3
Source: RefSeq, a predicted model, not a curated record